RNAcentral lists this ribosomal RNA (270 nucleotides) under uncultured archaeon. RNAcentral describes it as "partial 16S ribosomal RNA". It matches the Rfam family "Archaeal small subunit ribosomal RNA", at positions 477 to 747 of the family's 1478-position model. The record is from RNAcentral.
CAGCACCUCAAGUGGGCAGGAUGAUUAUUGGGCCUAAAGCAUCCGUAGCCGGCGCUGUAAGUUUUCGGUUAAAUCUGUACGCUCAACGUACAUGCUGCCGGGAAUACUGCAGCGCUAGGGAGUGGGAGAGGUAGACGGUACUCGGUAGGAAGGGGUAAAAUCCUUUGAUCUAUUGAUGACCACCUGUGGCGAAGGCGGUCUACCAGAACACGUCCGACGGUGAGGGAUGAAAGCUGGGGGAGCAAACCGGAUUAGAUACCCGAGUAGUCC